RNAcentral lists this ribosomal RNA (497 nucleotides) under uncultured bacterium. Its description in RNAcentral is "partial 16S ribosomal RNA". It matches the Rfam family "Bacterial small subunit ribosomal RNA", at positions 28 to 507 of the family's 1533-position model. The record is from RNAcentral.
GACGAACGCUGGCGGCGUGCCUAAUACAUGCAAGUAGAACGCUGAAGAGAGGAGCUUACUCUUCUUGGAUGAGUUGCGAACGGGUGAGUAACGCGUAGGUAACCUGCCUUGUAGCGGGGGAUAACUAUUGGAAACGAUAGCUAAUACCGCAUAACAAUGGAUGACACAUGUCAUUUAUUUGAAAGGGGCAAUUGCUCCACUACAAGAUGGACCUGCGUUGUAUUAGCUAGUAGGUGAGGUAAUGGCUCACCUAGGCGACGAUACAUAGCCGACCUGAGAGGGUGAUCGGCCACACUGGGACUGAGACACGGCCCAGACUCCUACGGGAGGCAGCAGUAGGGAAUCUUCGGCAAUGGGGGCAACCCUGACCGAGCAACGCCGCGUGAGUGCAGAAGGUUUUCGGAUCGUAAAGCUCUGUUGUAAGUCAAGAACGGGUGUGAGAGUGGAAAGUUCACACUGUGACGGUAGCUUACCAGAAAGGGACGGCUAACUACGUG